CCUACGAGUGGCAGCAGUGAGGAAUAUUGGUCAAUGGGCGCAAGCCUGAACCAGCCAAGUCGCGUGAGGGAAGACGGCCCUACGGGUUGUAAACCUCUUUUGCCGGGGAGCAAGCCUGAGCACGUGUGCCCAGGCGGAGAGUACCCGGAGAAAAAGCAUCGGCUAAUCCCGUGCCACCAGCAGCGGUAAUACGGGGGAUGCGAGCGUUAUCCGGAUUUAUUGGGUUUAAAGGGUGCGCAGGCGGGCUGUUAAGCCGGCGGUAAAAAUUCAGGGCUCAACCCUGUCGAGCCGUCGGAACUGGCAGCCUUGAGUGGGCGAGAAGUAUGCGGAAUGCGUGGUGUAGCGGUGAAAUGCAUAGAUAUCACGCAGAACGCCGAUUGCGAAGGCAGCAUACCGGCGCCCGACUGACGCUGAGGCACGAAAGCGUGGGGAUCGAACAGGAUUAGAUACCCCAGUAGUC
Molecule: ribosomal RNA, 460 nt
Filed under: uncultured bacterium
Lineage: Bacteria
Description: partial 16S ribosomal RNA
Rfam family: Bacterial small subunit ribosomal RNA
Source: RNAcentral